ACACUACUGAGGAAUCCAAUACUAGGACGAAACGGCCGUUCAGUGU
This 46-nucleotide non-coding RNA is filed under the name Schistosoma margrebowiei. Lineage: Eukaryota; Metazoa; Platyhelminthes; Trematoda; Strigeidida; Schistosomatidae. The record is from RNAcentral.